UACGAAGGGGGCUAGCGUUGCUCGGAAUUACUGGGCGUAAAGCGCACGUAGGCGGAUUGUUAAGUCGGGGGUGAAAUCCUGGAGCUCAACUCCAGAACUGCCUCCGAAACUGGCGAUCUUGAGUUUCGGGAGAGGUGAGUGGAACUGCGAGUGUAGAGGUGAAAUUCGUAGAUAUUCGCAAGAACACCAGUGGCGAAGGCGGCUCACUGGCCCGAUACUGACGCUGAGGUGCGAAAGCGUGGGGAGCAACAGG
This 253-nucleotide ribosomal RNA is filed under the name uncultured bacterium. RNAcentral describes it as "partial 16S ribosomal RNA". It matches the Rfam family "Bacterial small subunit ribosomal RNA", at positions 524 to 775 of the family's 1533-position model. The record is from RNAcentral.